AUUGAACGCUGGCGGCAUGCCUUACACAUGCAAGUCGAACGGCAGCACGGGGGCAACCCUGGUGGCGAGUGGCGAACGGGUGAGUAACACAUCGGAACGUGCCCAGUAGUGGGGGAUAGCUCGGCGAAAGCCGGAUUAAUACCGCAUACGACCUACGGGUGAAAGCGGGGGAUCGCAAGACCUCGCGCUAUCGGAGCGGCCGAUGUCAGAUUAGGUUGUUGGGGGGUAAAGGCCUACCAAGCCGACGAUCUGUAGCUGGUCUGAGAGGACGACCAGCCACACUGGGACUGAGACACGGCCCAGACUCCUACGGGAGGCAGCAGUGGGGAAUUUGGACAAUGGGCGCAAGCCUGAUCCAGCCAUGCCGCGUGCGGGAA
RNAcentral lists this ribosomal RNA (377 nucleotides) under uncultured bacterium. RNAcentral describes it as "bacterial SSU rRNA". It matches the Rfam family "Bacterial small subunit ribosomal RNA", at positions 29 to 409 of the family's 1533-position model. The record is from RNAcentral.